UGAUCCUGGCUCAGGAUGAACGCUAGCGGCAGGCCUAAUACAUGCAAGUCGAACGGUAACAUUGGUGCUUGCACCAGAUGACGAGUGGCGCACGGGUGCGUAACGCGUAUGCAAUCUACCUUUUACUAGAGUAUAGCCCAGAGAAAUUUGGAUUAAUCCUCUAUAAUAUCUUUUAAUUUCAUGAUUUUAAGAUUAAAGUUUUAACGGUAAAAGAUGAGCAUGCGUCCUAUUAGUUUGUAGGUGAGGUAACGGCUCACCUAGACUACGAUAGGUAGGGGCCCUGAGAGGGGGAUCCCCCACACUGGUACUGAGACACGGACCAGACUCCUACGGGAGGCAGCAGUAAGGAAUAUUGGACAAUGGACGAAAGUCUGAUCCAGCCAUGCCGCGUGCAGGAUGAAAGCCCUACGGGUUGUAAACUGCUUUUAUACAGGAAGAAACACUCCGACGUGUCGGAGCUUGACGGUACUGUAAGAAUAAGGAUCGGCUAACUCCGUGCCAGCAGCCGCGGUAAUACGGAGGAUCCAAGCGUUAUCCGGAAUCAUUGGGUUUAAAGGGUCCGCAGGCUGUUUUUUAAGUCAGAGGUGAAAUCCUACAGCUCAACUGUAGAACUGCCUUUGAUACUGAAAAACUUGAGUUAUUGUGAAGUGGUUAGAAUGUGUGGUGUAGCGGUGAAAUGCAUAGAUAUCACACAGAAUACCGAUUGCGAAGGCAGAUCACUAACAAUAUACUGACGCUCAUGGACGAAAGCGUGGGGAGCGAACAGGAUUAGAUACCCUGGUAGUCCACGCCGUAAACGAUGGAUACUAGCUGUUCGUCUAACAUUGGUUAGAUGAGUGGCUAAGCGAAAGUGAUAAGUAUCCCACCUGGGGAGUACGGUCGCAAGACUGAAACUCAAAGGAAUUGACGGGGGCCCGCACAAGCGGUGGAGCAUGUGGUUUAAUUCGAUGAUACGCGAGGAACCUUACCAGGGCUUAAAUGUAGUGGGACAGGUCUAGAGAUAGACCCUUCUUCGGACUCAUUACAAGGUGCUGCAUGGUUGUCGUCAGCUCGUGCCGUGAGGUGUCAGGUUAAGUCCUAUAACGAGCGCAACCCACAUCUUUAGUUGCCAGCAGGUUAAGCUGGGCACUCUAGAGAAACUGCCCGUGAUAAGCGGGAGGAAGGUGUGGAUGACGUCAAGUCCUCAUGGCCCUUACGGGUUGGGCUACACACGUGCUACAAUGGCAGUGACAAUGGGUUAAUCCCCAAAAGCUGUCUCAGUUCGGAUUGGGGUCUGCAACUCGACCCCAUGAAGUUGGAAUCGCUAGUAAUCGCGGAACAGCAUGCCGCGGUGAAUACGUUCCCGGGCCUUGUACACACCGCCCGUCACACCAUGGGAAUUGGGUCUACCCGAAGGUGGUGCGCCAACUAUUUAUAGAGGCAGCCAACCACGGUAGGUUCAGUGACUGGGGUGAAGUCGUAACAAGGUAACC
This 1472-nucleotide ribosomal RNA is filed under the name uncultured marine bacterium. RNAcentral's name for it is "bacterial SSU rRNA". It matches the Rfam family "Bacterial small subunit ribosomal RNA". The record is from RNAcentral.